Long non-coding RNA from Erpetoichthys calabaricus (reedfish), 455 nucleotides. RefSeq lists it as uncharacterized. The record is from RefSeq and is a predicted model, not a curated record. The transcript is spliced from 2 exons. Lineage: Eukaryota; Metazoa; Chordata; Cladistia; Polypteriformes; Polypteridae.
AUUACUACACAUUUUAUUGACUUAUUCUCUUCUAACUAAAUCUAUCGGUCAUAACUGGCAGACUAGUCAGUAGAUGCUGUCUGUUUGGUAUUUAACCAGUGACUCUGAAUAACAAAUAUACUGCAUAUGCAGAGCUGUUACGACCACAAUCCAAAUUCUAGUCUAACCCUUGUGAAUCAUCAAGAUUAUUUAGUAUUCGGUACAUGGUACACUAUGUUAAUCCCCAAGUUGUCUUUUCACAUGACCUUUGGAGGCCAGAGCACAGGGUCAGCCGUCAUACAGCAUCCCUGGUGCAAUUUUUUAAGGUUAACAGCCUUGCUCAAGGGCCCAACAGAGUACAAUCCCUUCUGGCACUAAUGGGAUUUGAACCGGCAGGCUUACAGAUACCAGCACAGAUCCUUACAGUGGCAUUAAGGGACAUUUAUUAAGGAUGCAAUCUAAACAUGUUAAUAAAA